AGAAAACAAAAAUAAUUAAACAAGAUCGGCCUCUCCCGUGCCGAUGGGAAGCCGCCGCCUCGACGGGAAGCUCGAGGCUGGCCUGCUCCCGUGGGCUGUGUGCCUGCAUCGAGAGCCGAUGGUCCCUGUCUCCCUCGUAAAGCCUCACCUCGCGGAUCGUCGCCGCCUCCACCGCUCAGCUCAUCGGAAGCCGCCACUGGUCCAGUGGUCCUCAUCUCCGUACCGCACGCGAAGAGGGCGCCCUCCCUAGUAGAGGCGCGAGAGAGCGAAGGCCGAGCCACUUCCCGGCGACGAAGAAGGGGAAGGAGGAGCCAUCACUCGGGGCGUCCACGCCACGCCACCCUCCGGAGUCGCCAGCACACAACUCAUCGGUGGCCACCGCCGCAUGUCUGCGCACGGCUCCAGCCUUUCUGCAGUUCUACAUCCCUUAUUGAGUGCUGAGAGAGCAAGAGAGGAGCAAGAGGAUAUAGAUGGAGCACGCGAAUGUUCAUGGACCCGCAAUUAACCUGUCGGCUUAGCUUAAGA
Molecule: long non-coding RNA, 525 nt
Filed under: Setaria italica (foxtail millet)
Lineage: Eukaryota; Viridiplantae; Streptophyta; Magnoliopsida; Poales; Poaceae
Description: long non-coding RNA (SITA_LNC006313)
Source: RNAcentral